RNAcentral lists this long non-coding RNA (1512 nucleotides) under Monodelphis domestica (gray short-tailed opossum). RNAcentral describes it as "lncRNA (ENSMODG00000051115.1)". Lineage: Eukaryota; Metazoa; Chordata; Mammalia; Didelphimorphia; Didelphidae. The record is from RNAcentral.
AAACGCAUGCGCAUGGUAUUACCCCCACCACCACCACCUCCGUCCACGCUCCGCCCCCAGCUAACUACCAUGGCUGCUAUCUAGGCAGGAAGUGUCUGUUAUUUCUCAUCUCCACCGAGACAAAACUAGCUUAAUUCUAACUCCGCUGAAUAAAAUAAACUGCAGUUCGGCUGGCCCAUCCUCGGAGUUUGGGCCUUCGGAGACUGACUUUUUUCUCCGUAAUAUUUAACACUUUAGUAACGGCCAGCAGAAGGAAAAGGGUGCACAGUAAACGAAAAGACCACGUGAUAUUUACUUCCGCAUACUUAGAUAUUCUCUAAUUUUCCCCAAGCCAACUGCCAGGGGAAUAGUUAUCCGAGAGAAAAAUGAUUAUGAAAGGAUUCCUGUACCGUUAACUAGAAUAAUCUCUCGAGGAAUUUUUCAAUCUAAUAAGGGGACUAUGACUUUAACAAAAUAUAGUUAUCCCUUGUUGGCUUCGGGAAGGGUGGCUGGAGAGGAAGGAGGGAAAUAAAGAAAUGCCAUGAUGUUGUGUCUAUACCUGUCUAAAAUUUAAAAUGACUCGGAAGUGAAUUUGACCUCUAUGAUAUUUUGGAUAGCCAGUGCUAGAGCGAAGACUUGUAUCUAAAUACUAUGGAGAUACUGGGGACUUCUUAGUUAUCUAACAAGGUAAGUAGGUUUCUGGUAAGUAGGGAAGGUAAGUAGGUUUCUGGCGGCUUCUUUACUCACUAAAUAGUCUUUCUAUCCCCCUCUGUCCUUCGUAGUCGUAUGAAAUAACAAGAGCCCUCAAAAUCAGAAACAGAAUCAAUACUAUUUAAGUCUUAUUUAUCCCCAAACAGACAUAACUAGUUUUAAAGACUGAUAUUUUAGGAAUAUUUGUUUUGAUUUAAAGUUUAAAAUUCUAUUAAAUUGUAUUCCUAUUUCUGAUGAUUUUAUUCACAGUCACAACUCUUAUUCAUUGAUAAAAUUAAGUCCCUAUAUAAUAGAAUGAAAAGAGUACAGGCUCUGGAGUCAGGAAUGCCAGGGCUCAAAUUCCACUUCUUAUACUUCCUACCUGUGUGACCUUGGGCAGUUUCUUAACUUCCUGAUUUCUCAUCUCUAAAAUGAGGGACUUUGACAACAUGACCUCUUAGGUUCCUUGACAUUCUAGAUCUAUGAUUUUGUAGACUUGCAUUGGGUAACUUCUACUAAUUACUAUUUUCUACUUUCUGCUAACUACUUUCUAAUUUACUUGUCACUUUUUAAAUUUAAAAUUUUUCUGACUCACCUCCUUAUGAUCACUUUCAGAACUGAUGCUGUAGGUUGUUGUAGAAGUCUUCAGAUUUCUUCCUUUUAACCUGAGAUUUCAAAGUGAACUCUCAAAAGCAGAAGAUGAAUGUCAGCAGGUAGCAUGGUAUACUAAAUAGAAAACUGGAUCAGGUACCAGAAGACAUAGGCUAAAGGCCUGACAAGUCUUGAAAUCUUGAGAAAGAGGAUCUUAAUUUCCCUAUCUGUACAGUGAAGAGAUUAGACUAA